AGGAUGAACGCUGGCGGCGUGCCUAAUACAUGCAAGUCGAGCGGUAAGGCCCCUUCGGGGGUACACGAGCGGCGGACGGCUGAGUAACACGUAGGAACGUACCCCAAACUGAGGGAUAAGCACCAGAAAUGGUGUCUAAUACCGCAUGUGGUCUUCGGAUUAAAGCUUCGGCGGUUUGGGAACGGCCUGCGCAUGAUUAGCUUGUUGGUGAGGUAAAAGCUUACCAAGGCGACGAUCAUUAGCUGGUCUGAGAGGAUGAUCAGCCAGACUGGGACUGAGAACGGCCCAGACUCCUACGGGAGGCAGCAGUAGGGAAUUUUCCACAAUGGGCGAAAGCCUGAUGGAGCAACGCCGCGUGCAGGACGAAGGCCUUCGGGUUGUAAACUGCCUUUAUAUGUGAAGAUUAUGACGGUAGCAUAUGAAUAAGGAUCGGCUAACUCCGUGCCAGCAGCCAC
This 455-nucleotide ribosomal RNA is filed under the name uncultured bacterium. Its description in RNAcentral is "SSU rRNA". It matches the Rfam family "Bacterial small subunit ribosomal RNA", at positions 26 to 518 of the family's 1533-position model. The record is from RNAcentral.